GGGUUGUGAGGUUAAGCGACUAAGCGUACACGGUGGAUGCCCUGGCAGUCAGAGGCGAUGAAGGACGUGCUAAUCUGCGAUAAGCGUCGGUAAGGUGAUAUGAACCGUUAUAACCGGCGAUUUCCGAAUGGGGAAACCCAGUGUGAUUCGUCACACUAUCAUUAACUGAAUCCAUAGGUUAAUGAGGCGAACCGGGGGAACUGAAACAUCUAAGUACCCCGAGGAAAAGAAAUCAACCGAGAUUCCCCCAGUAGCGGCGAGCGAACGGGGAGGAGCCCAGAGCCUGAAUCAGUGUGUGUGUUAGUGGAAGCGUCUGGAAAGGCGCGCGAUACAGGGUGACAGCCCCGUACACAAAAAUGCACAUACUGUGAGCUCGAUGAGUAGGGCGGGACACGUGGUAUCCUGUCUGAAUAUGGGGGGACCAUCCUCCAAGGCUAAAUACUCCUGACUGACCGAUAGUGAACCAGUACCGUGAGGGAAAGGCGAAAAGAACCCCGGCGAGGGGAGUGAAAAAGAACCUGAAACCGUGUACGUACAAGCAGUGGGAGCACGCUUCGGCGUGUGACUGCGUACCUUUUGUAUAAUGGGUCAGCGACUUAUAUUCUGUAGCAAGGUUAACCGAAUAGGGGAGCCGAAGGGAAACCGAGUCUUAACUGGGCGUUAAGUUGCAGGGUAUAGACCCGAAACCCGGUGAUCUAGCCAUGGGCAGGUUGAAGGUUGGGUAACACUAACUGGAGGACCGAACCGACUAAUGUUGAAAAAUUAGCGGAUGACUUGUGGCUGGGGGUGAAAGGCCAAUCAAACCGGGAGAUAGCUGGUUCUCCCCGAAAGCUAUUUAGGUAGCGCCUCGUGAAUUCAUCUCCGGGGGUAGAGCACUGUUUCGGCAAGGGGGUCAUCCCGACUUACCAACCCGAUGCAAACUGCGAAUACCGGAGAAUGUUAUUACGGGAGACACACGGCGGGUGCUAACGUCCGUCGUGAAGAGGGAAACAACCCAGACCGCCAGCUAAGGUCCCAAAGUCAUGGUUAAGUGGGAAACGAUGUGGGAAGGCCCAGACAGCCAGGAUGUUGGCUUAGAAGCAGCCAUCAUUUAAAGAAAGCGUAAUAGCUCACUGGUCGAGUCGGCCUGCGCGGAAGAUGUAACGGGGCUAAACCAUGCACCGAAGCUGCGGCAGCGACACUAUGUGUUGUUGGGUAGGGGAGCGUUCUGUAAGCCUGUGAAGGUGUGCUGUGAGGCAUGCUGGAGGUAUCAGAAGUGCGAAUGCUGACAUAAGUAACGAUAAAGCGGGUGAAAAGCCCGCUCGCCGGAAGACCAAGGGUUCCUGUCCAACGUUAAUCGGGGCAGGGUGAGUCGACCCCUAAGGCGAGGCCGAAAGGCGUAGUCGAUGGGAAACAGGUUAAUAUUCCUGUACUUGGUGUUACUGCGAAGGGGGGACGGAGAAGGCUAUGUUGGCCGGGCGACGGUUGUCCCGGUUUAAGCGUGUAGGCUGAUUUUCCAGGCAAAUCCGGAAAAUCAAGGCUGAGGCGUGAUGACGAGGCACUACGGUGCUGAAGCAACAAAUGCCCUGCUUCCAGGAAAAGCCUCUAAGCAUCAGGUAACAUCAAAUCGUACCCCAAACCGACACAGGUGGUCAGGUAGAGAAUACCAAGGCGCUUGAGAGAACUCGGGUGAAGGAACUAGGCAAAAUGGUGCCGUAACUUCGGGAGAAGGCACGCUGAUAUGUAGGUGAAGCGACUUGCUCGUGGAGCUGAAAUCAGUCGAAGAUACCAGCUGGCUGCAACUGUUUAUUAAAAACACAGCACUGUGCAAACACGAAAGUGGACGUAUACGGUGUGACGCCUGCCCGGUGCCGGAAGGUUAAUUGAUGGGGUUAGCGGUAACGCGAAGCUCUUGAUCGAAGCCCCGGUAAACGGCGGCCGUAACUAUAACGGUCCUAAGGUAGCGAAAUUCCUUGUCGGGUAAGUUCCGACCUGCACGAAUGGCGUAAUGAUGGCCAGGCUGUCUCCACCCGAGACUCAGUGAAAUUGAACUCGCUGUGAAGAUGCAGUGUACCCGCGGCAAGACGGAAAGACCCCGUGAACCUUUACUAUAGCUUGACACUGAACAUUGAGCCUUGAUGUGUAGGAUAGGUGGGAGGCUUUGAAGUGUGGACGCCAGUCUGCAUGGAGCCGACCUUGAAAUACCACCCUUUAAUGUUUGAUGUUCUAACGUUGGCCCCUGAUCGGGGUUGCGGACAGUGUCUGGUGGGUAGUUUGACUGGGGCGGUCUCCUCCUAAAGAGUAACGGAGGAGCACGAAGGUUGGCUAAUCCUGGUCGGACAUCAGGAGGUUAGUGCAAUGGCAUAAGCCAGCUUGACUGCGAGCGUGACGGCGCGAGCAGGUGCGAAAGCAGGUCAUAGUGAUCCGGUGGUUCUGAAUGGAAGGGCCAUCGCUCAACGGAUAAAAGGUACUCCGGGGAUAACAGGCUGAUACCGCCCAAGAGUUCAUAUCGACGGCGGUGUUUGGCACCUCGAUGUCGGCUCAUCACAUCCUGGGGCUGAAGUAGGUCCCAAGGGUAUGGCUGUUCGCCAUUUAAAGUGGUACGCGAGCUGGGUUUAGAACGUCGUGAGACAGUUCGGUCCCUAUCUGCCGUGGGCGCUGGAGAACUGAGGGGGGCUGCUCCUAGUACGAGAGGACCGGAGUGGACGCAUCACUGGUGUUCGGGUUGUCAUGCCAAUGGCACUGCCCGGUAGCUAAAUGCGGAAGAGAUAAGUGCUGAAAGCAUCUAAGCACGAAACUUGCCCCGAGAUGAGUUCUCCCUGACUCCUUGAGAGUCCUGAAGGAACGUUGAAGACGACGACGUUGAUAGGCCGGGUGUGUAAGCGCAGCGAUGCGUUGAGCUAACCGGUACUAAUGAACCGUGAGGCUUAACCUUACAACGCCGAAG
This 2926-nucleotide ribosomal RNA is filed under the name Escherichia coli. RNAcentral describes it as "bacterial LSU rRNA". It matches the Rfam family "Bacterial large subunit ribosomal RNA". Lineage: Bacteria; Pseudomonadati; Pseudomonadota; Gammaproteobacteria; Enterobacterales; Enterobacteriaceae. The record is from RNAcentral.